Molecule: ribosomal RNA, 482 nt
Filed under: uncultured bacterium
Lineage: Bacteria
Description: partial 16S ribosomal RNA
Rfam family: Bacterial small subunit ribosomal RNA
Source: RNAcentral
AUUGAACGCUGGCGGCAUGAUUUACACAUGCAAGUCGAACGGUAACAGGCCGCAAGGUGCUGACGAGUGGCGAACGGGUGAGUAAUGCAUCGGAACGUGCCCAGUCGUGGGGGAUAACUACUCGAAAGAGUAGCUAGUACCGCAUACGAUCUAUGGAUGAAAGCGGGGGACCGUAAGGCCUCGCGCGAUUGGAGCGGCCGAUGUCAGGUUAGGUAGUUGGUGGGGUAAAGGCUCACCAAGCCAACGAUCUGUAGCUGGUCUGAGAGGACGACCAGCCACACUGGGACUGAGACACGGCCCAGACUCCUACGGGAGGCAGCAGUGGGGAAUUUUGGACAAUGGGCGCAAGCCUGAUCCAGCAAUGCCGCGUGCAGGAAGAAGGCCUUCGGGUUGUAAACUGCUUUUGUACGGAACGAAACGGCUCUGGUUAAUACCCGGGGCUAAUGACGGUACCGUAAGAAUAAGCACCGGCUAACUACGUG